CUUGUUGCAAUCUAUUCAGCGUUUUGUCAAGAUUUAAUAGAACAUUUGCUGCUUUUCUAAGGAGCUGGUGUCUGUUGCUUACAAACAGGAAUGCUAACUGCUUUACAAGUAGAACAAGAGAAGACAUAUUUACCUGAUUCUUCCAACCUUGAACCUGGUCGCUCAAAUUAUGAAUCACAGACUCUGCUUCCUGAGCUUGCUG
This is a long non-coding RNA of Lynx canadensis (Canada lynx), 202 nucleotides long. RefSeq lists it as uncharacterized. The transcript is spliced from 3 exons. NCBI's taxonomy places the organism in Eukaryota, Metazoa, Chordata, Mammalia, Carnivora, Felidae. The record is from RefSeq and is a predicted model, not a curated record.